RNAcentral lists this ribosomal RNA (468 nucleotides) under uncultured bacterium. RNAcentral's name for it is "partial 16S ribosomal RNA". It matches the Rfam family "Bacterial small subunit ribosomal RNA", at positions 28 to 507 of the family's 1533-position model. The record is from RNAcentral.
GACGAACGCUGGCGGCGUGCUUAACACAUGCAAGUCGAACGGAAAGGCCCUGCUUUUGUGGUGUGCUCGAUUGGCGAACGGGUGAGUAACACGUGAGUAACCUGCCCUUGACUUUGGGAUAACUUCAGGAAACUGGGGCUAAUACCGGAUAGGAGCUCCUUCUGCAUGGUGGGGGUUGGAAAGUUCCGGCGGUUGGGGAUGUACUCGCGGCUUAUCAGCUUGUUGGUGGGGUAGUGGCUUACCAAGGCUUUGACGGGUAGCCGGCCUGAGAGGGUGACCGGCCACAUUGGGACUGAGAUACGGCCCAGAGUCCUACGGGAGGCAGCAGUGGGGAAUAUUGCACAAUGGGCGGAAGCCUGAUGAAGCAACGCCGCGUGCGGGAUGACGGCCUUCGGGUUGUAAACCGCUUUAGCCUGUGACGAAGCGUGAGUGACGGUAAUGGGUAAAGAAGCACCGGCUAACUACGUG